This 119-nucleotide ribosomal RNA is filed under the name Pteropus alecto (black flying fox). The record is from RNAcentral. Lineage: Eukaryota; Metazoa; Chordata; Mammalia; Chiroptera; Pteropodidae.
GUCUACAGCUAUGCCACACUGAAUGUGCCUGAUCUUGUCUGAUCUCAGAAACUAAGCAGGGGUGGGCCUGGUUAGUACUUGGAUGGGAGACCACUUUGAAAUACCAGGUGCUGGAGGCA